Molecule: ribosomal RNA, 257 nt
Filed under: uncultured bacterium
Lineage: Bacteria
Description: partial 16S ribosomal RNA
Rfam family: Bacterial small subunit ribosomal RNA
Source: RNAcentral
UACGUAGGUGGCAAGCGUUGUCCGGAAUCACUGGGCGUAAAGGGCGCGUAGGCGGUGCGAGAAGCGUGUGGUGAAAGGCCGGGGCUCAACCCCGGCUCGGCCGUGCGGACUCUCGCGCUUGGUGAGUGCUGUAGAGGCGGGCGGAAUUCCGGGUGUAGCGGUGGAAUGCGUAGAGAUCCGGAAGAACACCGGUGGCGAAGGCGGCCCGCUGGGCAGUGACUGACGCUGAGGCGCGGACAGCGUGGGGAGCAAACAGG